AGGACGAACGCUGGCGGCGUGCUUAACACAUGCAAGUCGAGCGGAAAGGCCCUUCGGGGUACUCGAGCGGCGAACGGGUGAGUAACACGUGAGCAACCUGCCCUUGGCUCUGGGAUAGCCUCCGGAAACGGGGAUUAAUACCGGACAUUCACUUUCUCCUGCAUGGGGGGUUGGUGGAAAGUUUUUCGGCCAGGGAGGGGCUCGCGGCCUAUCAGCUUGUUGGCGGGGUAACGGCCCACCAAGGCGACGACGGGUAGCCGGCCUGAGAGGGCGAUCGGCCACACUGGGACUGAGACACGGCCCAGACUCCUACGGGAGGCAGCAGUGGGGAAUAUUGCACAAUGGGCGCAAGCCUGAUGCAGCGACGCCGCGUGGGGGAUGAAGGCCUUCGGGUUGUAAACCCCUUUCACCAGGAGCGAAUUCAGACGGUACCUGGGAAGAAGCGCCGGCUAACUACGUGCCAGCAGCCGC
Molecule: ribosomal RNA, 471 nt
Filed under: uncultured bacterium
Lineage: Bacteria
Description: SSU rRNA
Rfam family: Bacterial small subunit ribosomal RNA
Source: RNAcentral